CCUUACUCCCGUGUGUCGUCCGUUGGCCGUCUCAGUAUUUGAUCAUGGCUCAGGACGAACGCUGGCGGCGUGCUUAACACAUGCAAGUCGAACGAUGAACCGGAGCUUGCUCCGGGGAUUAGUGGCGAACGGGUGAGUAACACGUGGGCAACCUGCCCCAGACACCGGGAUAACCUUCCGAAAGGAUGGCUAAUACCGGAUACGACCACUUCGGGCAUCCGACGGUGGUGGAAAGGAUUCUGGUCUGGGAUGGGCCCGCGGCCUAUCAGCUUGUUGGUGGGGUAAUGGCCUACCAAGGCGACGACGGGUAGCCGGCCUGAGAGGGCGACCGGCCACACUGGGACUGAGACACGGCCCAGACUCCUACGGGAGGCAGCAGUGGGGAAUAUUGCGCAAUGGGCGAAAGCCUGACGCAGCGACGCCGCGUGAGGGACGAAGGUCUUCGGAUUGUAAACCUCUUUCAGCAGGGACGAAGCGAAAGUGACUGUACCUGCAGAAGAAGCACCGGCCAACUACGUG
RNAcentral lists this ribosomal RNA (519 nucleotides) under uncultured bacterium. RNAcentral describes it as "bacterial SSU rRNA". It matches the Rfam family "Bacterial small subunit ribosomal RNA", at positions 1 to 507 of the family's 1533-position model. The record is from RNAcentral.